GUGGGUGUGGCGAAGUGGUUAACGCACCGGGUUGUGGUUCCGGCAUUCGUGGGUUCAAGACCCAUCACCCACCCCA
Molecule: transfer RNA, 76 nt
Filed under: Desulfosporosinus sp. BRH_c37
Lineage: Bacteria; Bacillati; Bacillota; Clostridia; Eubacteriales; Desulfitobacteriaceae
Description: tRNA-His
Rfam family: tRNA
About the family: Transfer RNA (tRNA) molecules are approximately 80 nucleotides in length.
Source: RNAcentral